AGCAACCAAUGGCAGCAAGCUUAGCCAAAUGAGUGCUUGUUUAUGAGACCACUCGCUCUUGGGGUGCAGCUGAAAACGGCUCUCCACAAAGGUGUAGGGAGAUAUUUGUAAAGAUCGCAUCAGUCCUCUACUUCAAAACUACACAUUUACUUCUAUAAACUCCUCAAAACCGGCCAGUAAAUCUUUCACACAGAGGGAAUUGUCAUAAAGCAUAUAACUACAUCCUGUUGUCAAUAGAAAACAGAGAAAGAAGAAGCAUAUCUUACAUACUGAGUUGCUUUCACAGGGUCAAACACAUCUGUGGGACAAUUAUAUAAUUUUGCCUCACACUCUCUCAUAUGAAUAGGAGAGCAUCCAUCUCGCUGUUUGAGGUCUCCUGGGAGGCCUAUAGCCCCAUCUGUAUCAGACUUCUAUGAGGCCUUCAGACUGUGGGGUCUUCAGAGGAACAUAAAUGCCAGUGACAGUGUGCAGCAGAUCUCCUAGGAGGCUUUCAGACUGAGGGGUCUUCAGCGGAGCACACAAGCUGGUGAUCUGCCCUGGUGGAAGGUGCAGUCUGAAAGUUAUUGGGUGGUAGAGAAGUUGAGAGCCUUCUGUGGCAAGAAUGAAGACCAGAGUACCAAAGAAGCCCUGUGAACAUAGUGUGAGCAUGGUAGCCAACCUGUAAUUCCAAUAUUCAAGAGGUAGAGACUGGGUACCUGUUACCUUCCCUCUUCACUUCAGU
Mastomys coucha (southern multimammate mouse) is the source of this 721-nucleotide long non-coding RNA. RefSeq lists it as uncharacterized. Lineage: Eukaryota; Metazoa; Chordata; Mammalia; Rodentia; Muridae. The record is from RefSeq and is a predicted model, not a curated record. The transcript is spliced from 6 exons.